CCCUGGCUCAGGACGAACGCUGGCGGCAUGCCUAAUACAUGCAAGUCGAGCGGAGUUUGAAUGGAAGCUUGCUUCCAUUCUUACUUAGCGGCGGACGGGUGAGUAACACGUAGGCAACCUGCCCUCAAGACUGGGAUAACUACCGGAAACGGUAGCUAAUACCGGAUAAUUUCUUUCCUCUCCUGAAGAGAGAAUGAAAGGCGGAGCAAUCUGCCACUUGGGGAUGGGCCUGCGGCGCAUUAGCUAGUUGGUGGGGUAACGGCUCACCAAGGCGACGAUGCGUAGCCGACCUGAGAGGGUGAACGGCCACACUGGGACUGAGACACGGCCCAGACUCCUACGGGAGGCAGCAGUAGGGAAUCUUCCGCAAUGGGCGAAAGCCUGACGGAGCAAUGCCGCGUGAGUGAUGAAGGUUUUCGGAUCGUAAAGCUCUGUUGCCAGGGAAGAACGUCCGGUAGAGUAACUGCUACCGGAGUGACGGUACCUGAGAAGAAAG
This 496-nucleotide ribosomal RNA is filed under the name Paenibacillaceae bacterium CL5.35. Its description in RNAcentral is "bacterial SSU rRNA". It matches the Rfam family "Bacterial small subunit ribosomal RNA", at positions 17 to 490 of the family's 1533-position model. The record is from RNAcentral. Lineage: Bacteria; Bacillati; Bacillota; Bacilli; Caryophanales; Paenibacillaceae.